CGAGGAAGAGGAGAUAGCUUGCUAACUCCUGUUUCUAGCGGCGGACGGGUGAGUAACGCGUGAGCAACCUGCCUUUAUCAGGGGGAUAACGCAUCGAAAGAUGUGCUAAUACCGCGUAAGACCACAGCCUCACAUGGGGCAGAGGUCAAAGGAGCAAUCCGGAUAAAGAUGGGCUCGCGUCCGAUUAGCUAGUUGGUGAGAUAACAGCCCACCAAGGCGACGAUCGGUAGCCGACCUGAGAGGGUGAUCGGCCACAUUGGAACUGAGAGACGGUCCAGACUCCUACGGGAGGCAGCAGUGGGGAAUAUUGGGCAAUGGGCGAAAGCCUGACCCAGCAACGCCGCGUGAGGGAAGAAGGGUUUCGGCUCGUAAACCUCUGUCCUAUGGGACGAAGGAAGUGACGGUACCAUAGGAGGAAGCCCCGGCUAACUACGUGCCAGCAGCCGCGGUAGUACGUAGGGGGCGAGCGUUGUCCGGAAUGAUUGGGCGUAAAGGGCGCGUAGGCGGCCUGCUAAGUCUGGAGUGAAAGUCCUGCUUUCAAGGUGGGAAGUGCUUUGGAUACUGGUGGGCUGGAGUGCAGGAGAGGAAAGCGGAAUUACCGGUGUAGCGGUGAAAUGCGUAGAGAUCGGUAGGAACACCAGUGGCGAAGGCGGCUUUCUGGACUGAAACUGACGCUG
RNAcentral lists this ribosomal RNA (677 nucleotides) under uncultured bacterium. RNAcentral describes it as "bacterial SSU rRNA". It matches the Rfam family "Bacterial small subunit ribosomal RNA", at positions 63 to 748 of the family's 1533-position model. The record is from RNAcentral.